Long non-coding RNA from Gasterosteus aculeatus aculeatus (three-spined stickleback), 3560 nucleotides. The record is from Ensembl. NCBI's taxonomy places the organism in Eukaryota, Metazoa, Chordata, Actinopteri, Perciformes, Gasterosteidae.
CUUUAUGUCAAUUAAUAAUGAUUUGCACCGGCCACUGAGGAGGAUCUUGUGUGUGUGUGUGUGCUGCCCUCAGCUUCACCUGGGUUCUUAUCUCAACCUGCUUUGUAGCUUCUCGUAACUGGCACGGAGAAUGUUCUUCACAUGUGUAUAAAAACUCAGCGUUUUCACUGCUCGGAGACGUCAUUACGCCGAGCGCUGAGAUACGUGCUAGUGUGUUGGACCUCCUGCUUGCAAGCAACAGUUAGAGCCAGAUGUCUGCGGAGAAUUGCUCAUGUAAUCUUUUUCUCUUCUAAAUAAAUGUUAACUUUUGACUUUAAUUGAUCAACGUGCUGCGAUUCUUCUCAUCAACCAACUCGGGGGGAUCGGAGAUCCUGACAAUUUGGGGGCUCGUCCGGGAUGAGAGGUUUUCCUGCACAGGCGGAUUCGAUCUAAAACGCUUACACCUGCUGAACGCGACGUACUCCCAGGUCGGCCUCAAAACAAGGGUGUGACGACCUGGAGGCCUCCAUGAGGGCGGAAGACACACCGCUGAGGGAGGAGAGACGAGCUGCAGAAGAGCAGACCAAGACAGAAGGAUUCCCGAAUGCAGGAGAGACCGAGAGGUUUUCCGUUUCCCCUCCAAAGACAAGACAUUAGUUAAGUUUUACGGGCAAAGAUCGACUGAAGCCUGAGUUACUGAGUUACUCCCUGUUUUGACUGUUUUCUGUUGAAUCUGAAGGACGUAAAUUAAAACCUUUGUUUACAUUUUGAACCCGGUGUCCUCGCACUAUUUGAACUACCCCGGAGAGAGCGGCGGCGCCUCUCGUGACAUCACAAGACCAAGAACGGUGUAAUUCGGAAAAACCACCUCCAUUCGAGGGUAGAAAAAAAAAAAAAAAGGAGAGACUGAUUCUUAAACAACAAGUCUGCUGCUGCAGAGCCUUUUUUUUUAAGCUCUCCAAGCUAUUACUACACUUUUGAUUUAAAAAUAGUAGAAUUGUAGACAUGCAUUGAAGAAAGAAAAAGAAGAUUUAAAGUCUUUAAAGCAACAACGGCUAGAAUAAGCGUAAUAAAUCUCUGUUGAAGCAGCGGGGGUUUUAUGGGAGUAAAAAGGUCACAGCAGUGAGAAGAUGUGUGGGAGCAACGGUGGAGGCCAACAAGGUUUUAUACCUCCUCACACACAUACUGUUGAAUAAAGUUAAUCCUGAGUGCCAUCAUUUAGUGAUAUAAUUAGGUUUAUGCAUCUUUCUUGAAUACCAUGACAUAUAAAGAAUAAAGAGGAUAAAUGGUCCGUUUGCUUUUCAGUUUAGAAGAAUAAGCUCAUCAUUACUGGGCUGUCAAAGGUCGGCCAAAAACCUUUACAUGAACAAGCAGGUUGUAGGGGGGAUUUUAUGAAAUCAACUAACAGGUAGAUAAGACAUUGCAACUUUUAGUUUCGCUGAACUACUUUCUUUUUAAGUGUAACACUUGAAUCAAGGAUUUAAAAUAUGAUGAAAAAUUAUUAGAAGAAAUAGAAAUAAACAUGAAAACAAAUUAAGCGCAGCAGGAAAGAAAUUUGUUUUGGGGAAAAACACAGCGCGCUUAUUUGGACGAAUGUAAGGAAACAUGGGUGAAACACACAGGUCGUCACCCAGGCAGUGCGGGAGUGCACAGGGAAGGGUUUAGACAGGCGGUACUGGAGGGCGUACCAGAGAGUGUGAAAGCUAAAAUGAUGACUAACCCAGACCUGCCAGGUAGUGACUCUGCUGUGUGGGAGAGACAUUUGUUACACCAUUUACAAGACGCGACAGAAGAAGCGACAGGAGAAGAUAAACAGUUAAAGGAGCUGCAGGCUCGACUGCUGAAGCUCCAGCUCGCCAAAGUAAGACAGGAAGUGAGCGACAAGGAGCAGAAAGGGAAAGACGAGCGAUAGAUGGUUGCACAGGCUGCCCCAGCUGGAGGUAACGCCCCUGAUUUGUAUCCACUCCCACCAUGGGAGGAGACGUCGUAUGGGACAGCCCAAGGGGGUGGUUACAGGGGAGGCUAUGGAGGUAACUGCUGGGGAGGAGAGUGUUGAGGAGGUCCAUAUGCAGGGGGAGGAGGAAGGGGCGGACGCAGAUGGGGAAGAGGUUGUUGGCACCAGGUUAAGGAGUGUCCUGGUAAAAGAAGACAGGGGAGGGGUAGAGGUGUCCCACCCCAGGAAGCAUGGGCUCCCAACGCACAUGCUGCACCGCCCUCUAGAGGACAGUACCCCACACUGGAGGACUGGGGCUAUGAGGCAGAUGCCUCUCAGUGACACACCCCCGAGAGAGACCUGGACAGCAGGGGCAGGGCAGACCCCAUGCUGUCACUCACGGUACUACAACAACAACUGCAAAAAAAACAAAAUGGAUGGAACGGUUCUGCAUUGCAAUGAAAAUGGACAAACGAGUGGUCAGUGGGUGGUGCAGCCACUGCAGCAACAACAACAAUAUGCAGACAUUUAUUGGGGCCUCCUGAAGCCUGAGUGUUCUGAAGGCCCAGGGGUUAUUACUCUUUACCAAAAGUGGAAGCCUUGGAUAACUCUUCUUGAUCCUUAUGUUCCUCCUUCAAAUCCUCCUCAUGUAACAUUGUUUUAUGAUAGACAAGGGGAUGAGUGCUAUUGUGACGAAUUCAUGGAACAUUUAGAAAACACGGAAUCGGAGGUGACGUCCCAAAACCUCUAUGUGGGCCCGGAAGGGGUAGCCUCAGCUGUCAUCCUCUCCCCCGACCAAUGAAAAUGGUAUUUAAUGAAUCAAGAUGCAGUGCCGCAUGUGUCGUUGGCUCUGCAUCCCAAACAUCAGGCUAAAGACGGGCGCUGCUGCUAGACGACUGGGUAUGCACUCAACUGCCAAAGCUUGUAAUGAAAAUAGCACACCACUGAUUGAGGCAAUUGUUCACUGAUGGCAGCUGCUUUAGACAUCCACAGAAGGGGUUGCAGUCGGGAUACGCGGUAGUCAGAAGCCAUGGGGCAGGGACAGAGGUUCUGGAAGCAGAAAGGAUCCAGGGAAGUCAGUCAGCUCAAAGAGCUGAGGUACUCGCAUUGAUAAGAGCAUUACAGCUGGCAGAAGUAAAGGCAGUAAACAUCUAUACUGACUUGGCGUAUGCAGUAGGUGCAGCUCAUGUGGAGCUGGGACAGUGGUUAAGAGCAGGUUUUCUGACGGCUGGAGGAAAACCGAUGGGGCCACAACUUAAUUAAGGAAGCCCAAAAGGGGGCGUGUCCUCAGGAGAAAACGGAGUGGAAGCAAAGAGGGGCUACAGAGGUUGGAGGCCUCUGGAGGUCCCCUGAUGGACGCCCAGUACUGCCGCCAGGCAUCAGAAACAAGUGUUUACAGGAGGCACAUGGGAUGGCUCAUGUGGGGCACAAACAAAAAUUGGCUAAAAUCUGUGCACAGAUACAUUUAACCUGGGUUCAAGCCCUUCCAUUCGUGUUAAUGGUCCUUAGAAGCUCAGUAAAUCAGGGUACGAACUGACCACCGGAAGACAGUUCCCUGGACCCAGUGCCGGCCUGAAGCUUAGGCCCAACCCGGAAGCUCCACCAGCUGAGUAUGCAAGUCAUAACGAACUACGAGCUCUCGUUUCAG